This 206-nucleotide unclassified non-coding RNA is filed under the name Hevea brasiliensis (rubber tree). Lineage: Eukaryota; Viridiplantae; Streptophyta; Magnoliopsida; Malpighiales; Euphorbiaceae. The record is from RNAcentral.
GUGGAAUUUAAUAGUGAUGUUCCGUUGUAGUGGCGUCAUACUCAUAAUCAUUUGGUUUUUGGACACAGAUCGCUAUUAUUGUUGUUUGUAGUUGAUAUUAUGGCAGUUCGUUGGUGGUUUUUUAUUUUUAUGUUUCACCAUUUUGAAAUUGAAAAUAUUCAAGAGUGAUGAUAGUAUACUCACUUUACACUUGUUUCCAUGUUGUU